This 77-nucleotide transfer RNA is filed under the name Candidatus Saccharibacteria bacterium CG10_big_fil_rev_8_21_14_0_10_47_8. Its description in RNAcentral is "tRNA-Ala". It matches the Rfam family "tRNA". Rfam says of the family: Transfer RNA (tRNA) molecules are approximately 80 nucleotides in length. Their secondary structure includes four short double-helical elements and three loops (D, anti-codon, and T loops). Lineage: Bacteria; Candidatus Saccharimonadota. The record is from RNAcentral.
GGGGAUGUAGCUCAGUUGAUUAGAGCACUACUCUGGCAGAGUAGGGGUCCGGGGUUUGAGUCCCCGCAUCUCCACCA